Molecule: small nucleolar RNA, 211 nt
Organism: Rattus norvegicus (Norway rat)
Lineage: Eukaryota; Metazoa; Chordata; Mammalia; Rodentia; Muridae
Product: small nucleolar RNA U3
Source: Ensembl
AAGACUAUACUUGAACGACAUUUCCAUUGUUACCACAGAAGUUACCCUGACCUUAUAGAAUACCUGAAAUCACGGGAAGGAGACCAAGAAUUCUUUCCUGAGUGUAAAGCCACUGUUGAUAUCGCUUCCUCACAAUGGCUAUAUGCCAUUGAUGAUUGUCCUUCUCUCCAUGUAGGGGAGAGAAAUAAGAAGGAAAACAAGGUGUAGUGGU